GAUGAACGCUGGCGGCGCGCCUAACACAUGCAAGUCGAACGAUUAAAGCACCUUCGGGUGUGUAUAAAGUGACGAACGGCUGAGUAACACGUGGGCAACCUGCCCCUUUCAUUGGGAUAGCCACGGGAAACCGUGGAUAAUACCGAAUACUUCGAGACUUCCGCAUGGAAGACUCGAGAAAGCUCCGGCGGAGAGGGAUGGGCCCGCGGCCUGUUAGCUUGUUGGUGGGGUAACGGCCUACCAAGGCAAUGAUGGGUAGCUGGGUUGAGAGACCGACCAGCCAGAUUGGGACUGAGACACGGCCCAGACUCCUACGGGAGGCAGCAGUGGGGAAUCUUGCACAAUGGGCGAAAGCCUGAUGCAGCGACGCCGCGUGCGGGAUGAAGGCCUUCGGGUUGUAAACCGCUUUCAGCAGGGACGAGGCGAAAGUGACGGUACCUGCAGAAGAAGCCCCGGCUAACUACGUG
This 467-nucleotide ribosomal RNA is filed under the name uncultured bacterium. RNAcentral describes it as "partial 16S ribosomal RNA". It matches the Rfam family "Bacterial small subunit ribosomal RNA", at positions 28 to 507 of the family's 1533-position model. The record is from RNAcentral.